Molecule: ribosomal RNA, 2902 nt
Filed under: Enterobacter cloacae
Lineage: Bacteria; Pseudomonadati; Pseudomonadota; Gammaproteobacteria; Enterobacterales; Enterobacteriaceae
Description: bacterial LSU rRNA
Rfam family: Bacterial large subunit ribosomal RNA
Source: RNAcentral
UUAAGCGACUAAGCGUACACGGUGGAUGCCCUGGCAGUCAGAGGCGAUGAAGGACGUGCUAAUCUGCGAAAAGCGCCGGCGAGGUGAUAUGAACCUUUGACCCGGCGAUGUCCGAAUGGGGAAACCCAGUGUGAUUCGUCACACUAUCGUUAACUGAAUACAUAGGUUAACGAGGCGAACCGGGGGAACUGAAACAUCUAAGUACCCCGAGGAAAAGAAAUCAACCGAGAUUCCCCCAGUAGCGGCGAGCGAACGGGGAGCAGCCCAGAGUCUGAAUCAGCUUGUGUGUUAGUGGAAGCGUCUGGAAAGUCGCACGGUACAGGGUGACAGUCCCGUACACGAAAAUGCACAGGUUGUGAACUCGAAGAGUAGGGCGGGACACGUGGUAUCCUGUCUGAAUAUGGGGGGACCAUCCUCCAAGGCUAAAUACUCCUGACUGACCGAUAGUGAACCAGUACCGUGAGGGAAAGGCGAAAAGAACCCCGGCGAGGGGAGUGAAAAAGAACCUGAAACCGUGUACGUACAAGCAGUGGGAGCACCUUCGGGUGUGACUGCGUACCUUUUGUAUAAUGGGUCAGCGACUUAUAUUCUGUAGCAAGGUUAACCGUAUAGGGGAGCCGAAGGGAAACCGAGUCUUAACUGGGCGUUAAGUUGCAGGGUAUAGACCCGAAACCCGGUGAUCUAGCCAUGGGCAGGUUGAAGGUUGGGUAACACUAACUGGAGGACCGAACCGACUAAUGUUGAAAAAUUAGCGGAUGACUUGUGGCUGGGGGUGAAAGGCCAAUCAAACCGGGAGAUAGCUGGUUCUCCCCGAAAGCUAUUUAGGUAGCGCCUCGUGAACUCAUCUUCGGGGGUAGAGCACUGUUUCGGCUAGGGGGCCAUCCCGGCUUACCAACCCGAUGCAAACUACGAAUACCGAAGAAUGUUAUCACGGGAGACACACGGCGGGUGCUAACGUCCGUCGUGAAGAGGGAAACAACCCAGACCGCCAGCUAAGGUCCCAAAGUCAUGGUUAAGUGGGAAACGAUGUGGGAAGGCACAGACAGCCAGGAUGUUGGCUUAGAAGCAGCCAUCAUUUAAAGAAAGCGUAAUAGCUCACUGGUCGAGUCGGCCUGCGCGGAAGAUGUAACGGGGCUAAACCAUGCACCGAAGCUGCGGCAGCGACACUAUGUGUUGUUGGGUAGGGGAGCGUUCUGUAAGCCGUUGAAGGUGGCCUGUGAGGGUUGCUGGAGGUAUCAGAAGUGCGAAUGCUGACAUAAGUAACGAUAAAGCGGGUGAAAAGCCCGCUCGCCGGAAGACCAAGGGUUCCUGUCCAACGUUAAUCGGGGCAGGGUGAGUCGACCCCUAAGGCGAGGCCGAAAGGCGUAGUCGAUGGGAAACAGGUUAAUAUUCCUGUACUUGGUGUUACUGCGAAGGGGGGACGGAGAAGGCUAUGUUAGCCGGGCGACGGUUGUCCCGGUUUAAGCAUGUAGGCGGAACGAUUAGGUAAAUCCGGUCGUUUAUUAACGCUGAGGUGUGAUGACGAGGCACUACGGUGCUGAAGUAACAAAUGCCCUGCUUCCAGGAAAAGCCUCUAAGCAUCAGGUAACAUUAAAUCGUACCCCAAACCGACACAGGUGGUCAGGUAGAGAAUACCAAGGCGCUUGAGAGAACUCGGGUGAAGGAACUAGGCAAAAUGGUGCCGUAACUUCGGGAGAAGGCACGCUGAUAUGUAGGUGAAGCCCCUGCGGGUGGAGCUGAAAUCAGUCGAAGAUACCAGCUGGCUGCAACUGUUUAUUAAAAACACAGCACUGUGCAAACACGAAAGUGGACGUAUACGGUGUGACGCCUGCCCGGUGCCGGAAGGUUAAUUGAUGGGGUUAGCGGCAACGCGAAGCUCUUGAUCGAAGCCCCGGUAAACGGCGGCCGUAACUAUAACGGUCCUAAGGUAGCGAAAUUCCUUGUCGGGUAAGUUCCGACCUGCACGAAUGGCGUAAUGAUGGCCAGGCUGUCUCCACCCGAGACUCAGUGAAAUUGAACUCGCUGUGAAGAUGCAGUGUACCCGCGGCAAGACGGAAAGACCCCGUGAACCUUUACUAUAGCUUGACACUGAACACUGGUCCUUGAUGUGUAGGAUAGGUGGGAGGCUUUGAAGUGUGGACGCCAGUCUGCAUGGAGCCGUCCUUGAAAUACCACCCUUUAAUGGCUGGUGUUCUAACGUAGACCCGUAAUCCGGGUUGCGGACAGUGUCUGGUGGGUAGUUUGACUGGGGCGGUCUCCUCCCAAAGAGUAACGGAGGAGCACGAAGGUUAGCUAAUCCUGGUCGGACAUCAGGAGGUUAGUGCAAUGGCAUAAGCUAGCUUGACUGCGAGAGUGACGGCUCGAGCAGGUGCGAAAGCAGGUCAUAGUGAUCCGGUGGUUCUGAAUGGAAGGGCCAUCGCUCAACGGAUAAAAGGUACUCCGGGGAUAACAGGCUGAUACCGCCCAAGAGUUCAUAUCGACGGCGGUGUUUGGCACCUCGAUGUCGGCUCAUCACAUCCUGGGGCUGAAGUAGGUCCCAAGGGUAUGGCUGUUCGCCAUUUAAAGUGGUACGCGAGCUGGGUUUAGAACGUCGUGAGACAGUUCGGUCCCUAUCUGCCGUGGGCGCUGGAGAAUUGAGGGGGGCUGCUCCUAGUACGAGAGGACCGGAGUGGACGCAUCACUGGUGUUCGGGUUGUCAUGCCAAUGGCACUGCCCGGUAGCUAAAUGCGGAAAAGAUAAGUGCUGAAAGCAUCUAAGCACGAAACUUGCCCCGAGAUGAGUUCUCCCUGAGACUUUAAGUCUCCUGAAGGAACGUUGAAGACGACGACGUUGAUAGGUCGGGUGUGUAAGCGCAGCGAUGCGUUGAGCUAACCGAUACUAAUGAACCGUGAGGCUUAACCUU